UGGGGAAUAUUGCACAAUGGGCGAAAGCCUGAUGCAGCGACGCCGCGUGAGGGAUGACGGCCUUCGGGUUGUAAACCUCUUUCAGUAGGGACGAAGCGCAAGUGACGGUACCUGCAGAAGAAGCACCGGCUAACUACGUGCCAGCAGCCGCGGUAAUACGUAGGGUGCGAGCGUUGUCCGGAAUUACUGGGCGUAAAGAGCUCGUAGGCGGUUUGUCACGUCGUCUGUGAAAUCCUAGGGCUUAACCCUGGACGUGCAGGCGAUACGGGCUGACUUGAGUACUACAGGGGAGACUGGAAGUUCUGGUGUAGCGGUGGAAUGCACAGAUAUCAGGAAGAACACCGAUGGCGAAGGCAGGUCUCUGGGUAGUAACUGACGCUGAGGAGCGAAAGCAUGGGUAGCGAACAGG
RNAcentral lists this ribosomal RNA (409 nucleotides) under bacterium. RNAcentral describes it as "partial 16S ribosomal RNA". It matches the Rfam family "Bacterial small subunit ribosomal RNA", at positions 355 to 776 of the family's 1533-position model. The record is from RNAcentral.